GCCGCAAUAGCUCAGGUGGUAGAGCACAUCAUUCGUAAUGAUGGGGUCGGGGGUUCGAGUCCCUCUUGCGGCACCA
Molecule: transfer RNA, 76 nt
Filed under: Iodidimonas muriae
Lineage: Bacteria; Pseudomonadati; Pseudomonadota; Alphaproteobacteria; Iodidimonadales; Iodidimonadaceae
Also listed under: 2 other names
Description: tRNA-Thr
Rfam family: tRNA
About the family: Transfer RNA (tRNA) molecules are approximately 80 nucleotides in length. Their secondary structure includes four short double-helical elements and three loops (D, anti-codon, and T loops).
Source: RNAcentral